CCAGAAGAGGCGCGUUACCCAGGUACGGUGUUGGAAGAGCCAAUCUAAAGAAAACACCUGAGGGGGAGUAACGCCGAGGUGGUGAAGUGCAUGGCGGCAUUCAUCAUCGGCUACAGGGGCUGAAUCCCUUGAGUUGUCACCAGAAACGUUCGCAGUCGGGCGUUUCACAAGUGGUGGAGCACUUCUGGGU
This 190-nucleotide non-coding RNA is filed under the name Phytobacter diazotrophicus. RNAcentral's name for it is "Lysine riboswitch". It matches the Rfam family "Lysine riboswitch aptamer". From Rfam's summary of the family: Riboswitches are metabolite binding domains within certain messenger RNAs that serve as precision sensors for their corresponding targets. Allosteric rearrangement of mRNA structure is mediated by ligand binding, and this results in modulation of gene expression. The record is from RNAcentral. Lineage: Bacteria; Pseudomonadati; Pseudomonadota; Gammaproteobacteria; Enterobacterales; Enterobacteriaceae.